AACGAACGCUGGCGGCAUGCCUAACACAUGCAAGUCGAACGAGACCUUCGGGUCUAGUGGCGCACGGGUGCGUAACGCGUGGGAACCUGCCCUUAGGUUCGGCAUAACUCCCCGAAAGGGAUGCUAAUACCGGAUAAUGUCUUCGGACCAAAGAUUUAUCGCCUUUGGAUGGGCCCGCGUUGGAUUAGCUAGUUGGUAGGGUAAAAGCCUACCAAGGCGACGAUCCAUAGCUGGUCUGAGAGGAUGAUCAGCCACACUGGGACUGAGACACGGCCCAGACUCCUACGGGAGGCAGCAGUGGGGAAUAUUGGACAAUGGGCGGAAGCCUGAUCCAGCAAUGCCGCGUGAGUGAUGAAGGCCUUAGGGUUGUAAAGCUCUUUUACCCGGGAUGAUAAUGACAGUACCGAGAGAAUAAGCUCCGGCUAACUCCGUG
This 433-nucleotide ribosomal RNA is filed under the name uncultured bacterium. Its description in RNAcentral is "partial 16S ribosomal RNA". It matches the Rfam family "Bacterial small subunit ribosomal RNA", at positions 29 to 507 of the family's 1533-position model. The record is from RNAcentral.